Molecule: ribosomal RNA, 231 nt
Filed under: uncultured bacterium
Lineage: Bacteria
Description: partial 16S ribosomal RNA
Rfam family: Bacterial small subunit ribosomal RNA
Source: RNAcentral
UACGUAGGCAGCGAGCGUUGUUCGGAGUUACUGGGCGUAAAGGGUGUGUAGGCGGUUAUCUAAGUUUGGUGUGAAAUCUCCCGGCUCAACUGGGAGGGGUCAUUCGAUACUGGCGGGCUCGAGGCCGGUAGGGGGAAGCGGAAUUCCCGGUGUAGUGGUGGAAUGCGUAGAUAUCGGGAGGAACACCAGUGGCGAAGGCGGCUUCCUGGACCGGUUCUGACACUGAGGAGC